CGGCAUGUACAUGUACACACGACCUUGCAUACCAGUCAGUACCAGAACAGAAACUGCCUGUGUAGCAGAUUUGAAUUCAGUCAGUUGGACCAAAGUGGACCAUGGAGCUAUGGUGAGAAGGAUCGAGGAAUGGGUUUGCUGGAAACAAAAAAUACAUGUAUUGUCAUGAUUGUACUUGUUUGUACAAGAAGAUUGAGAUGAAAUUGCUCAAACCAUGAAUGUUGGCAGUAAAGUGCAUGCCUAUGGAAACUUUCAAGAAUUAAUUGUUGUUCUUGCAAACACAUUUGAUGGAGAUUUAACUGUGUGCCUCCAUGGUGUAAUGUUGCCUACAUCUCCGGAUGAUCAUGAUUUGCACGGUGCUGUACUACUCUGCUAGAAUUACGGAAGACGUGAAGGGUCUGGGUGAAAACGAUGGUGACUGACUUCCUCAAAUGAUACAUCUAGAAUUCUACAUCUACCUGUCUCCAUGAUCCUUUGCGCUAUGCAUGGAUAUGAUCUACCAAAAACUACUGAGAUGAGCUGCAGUAUGUGCAUGUACAAGACAAAGACUGUCUGACUGCUUGUGCCCCGGCUCUGCAAAUUGGAGGCAGCGGCAUGCAUCCUUAACAAGCAGUUGGAAUCAUCAUCCUAAUCUACAAGAUGUCAGUUCCGGAAACUACAAUGGACAUUACUUUUAAAAAGAUUAUCAUAAAGUUUGUUCCAUACAUACACACAUGAACAUGCAAAUGAUAUACAGGUAUGUCACAGCUUGAUAGAAUGACUCUUGGAAAUUACGAUCAGUACUUUCCUUCAAACUUCCAAUUCUAGUUGUCAAACGUGUCUGAAUACCAUUGCCUUUCAAUAAAGCUCUAUGCAUGGUUUUACAAACUGAAUAUAGGCAUGGAUUGUUGCAACCAUCACAAGUCUUUCAUGCAUGUGUCUUUCUUGCCAAAUUUAUAGUAUCUCUCUCAGGAAAACAAUUCAUAUAAAAAUGUGGGGUUUUUUUUGGUUUUUUUGCCCAACUUCUGCUAUUUUUUUCACCACAUUAACCGUGUACACUGUACAGACUGUGUUCAUUAUUGGUGCCUUUGAUUUUAAUACACUGCACUGGAAAGAUAUCUGCUCAUCCCCUACAUGCACAAAUUUGUAAAUUCAGAAGAAUUUGUUUUUUUAAAAAGAACAGAAUAUGUCUGUCCAACUGUAAUUGUGUCAUGGUUGUUUUCCUGAUUUUAUUUAGUAUAAAGAGUAACGCCAUGGUAAUGUCACAUUUUGAAGUUAACAGAAAUCUAUAUUAAUUUUCAACCAAAUUUUUCUCAAUGAAAAUGUGUAAAAAUGUCUGCAAGAAUUGUAUUAAAUGUUCUAUAGAAAAACCUA
Patiria miniata (bat star) is the source of this 1353-nucleotide long non-coding RNA. RefSeq lists it as uncharacterized. The record is from RefSeq and is a predicted model, not a curated record. The transcript has 2 exons. NCBI's taxonomy places the organism in Eukaryota, Metazoa, Echinodermata, Asteroidea, Valvatida, Asterinidae.